Molecule: long non-coding RNA, 551 nt
Filed under: Carica papaya (papaya)
Lineage: Eukaryota; Viridiplantae; Streptophyta; Magnoliopsida; Brassicales; Caricaceae
Description: long non-coding RNA (CPAP_LNC001543)
Source: RNAcentral
UUCCAAAGAGUUUUCUUUCUCUUCUCCAAAAUCCAAAUUGCAAACACAAAUUUUUAAGUCUAAUCAUCACCCAUCAUACAAUAACAAAUAGUUUUGAUAAGAGCAUCCACCACAGAACCUGAACAAACGAUGACUAGUUAGAGAGCCUUGUCAUCCACCACCUCCACAUCUAGAGCCUCUACAGAUGCUGCCGCUAGCACUGUAAGGAUUGUGUACUAUGCGAUGGAAGAUGACAUGUGCAUCAAGAUUCUAAUUGAAAGUGGUGAUCAAGCUCGGGCAAUUAAUUAAAAAACAUGAUCAUGCAGUUUGAAUUUUAUGUACAGUCGAUAUAUACUAUGAAAGAUGAAACUUCCCAUAUACAUAAUCGUUAAGCUAGAGUGAUGAUUAUGGGAGGUUAGGGUUAUGUUGGAUUUCAUGUAUAGUCGAUAUUAAACUUACAAGACCAAUAAUAAAUUAAGUUAAUAUUACAAAGUAACGUUUGUUCGAGUAUUCAAUCAUUUUAAAGGGUCACAAGGAGCUAAAUGUUGUGACCAUGUACACCUUUAGUUUAU